GGUUAAUGAGGACUUAGAAGGAAAACAUAUUUGUGAACAUACCAACAUUUAGAUGAUGAGGAAACUGGUGUACACAUGGAAGAAAGAAAUGAUGGCUUAAGGAAGUUGAUGCUAUGUGAUCAUGUAUUUAAAUUUUACAUUGUCAAGACUAUUUUUAUUACAAUAAAAAUUUCUUUUACUUUG
Non-coding RNA from Heterocephalus glaber (naked mole-rat), 183 nucleotides. Lineage: Eukaryota; Metazoa; Chordata; Mammalia; Rodentia; Bathyergidae. The record is from RefSeq and is a predicted model, not a curated record.